This 254-nucleotide ribosomal RNA is filed under the name uncultured bacterium. RNAcentral describes it as "partial 16S ribosomal RNA". It matches the Rfam family "Bacterial small subunit ribosomal RNA", at positions 524 to 776 of the family's 1533-position model. The record is from RNAcentral.
UACGAAGGUCCCGAGCGUUGUUCGGAAUCACUGGGCGUAAAGGGAGCGUAGGCGGCGUGGUAAGUCAGAUGUGAAAUCCCCGGGGCUCAACCCCGGAACUGCAUCCGAUACUUCCAUGCUAGAGGAUUGGAGAGGUAGCUGGAAUUCUUGGUGUAGCAGUGAAAUGCGUAGAUAUCGAGAGGAACACCUGCGGCGAAGGCGGGUUGCUGGGCUGAUACUGACGUGAGGCGCGAAAGCCAGGGGGAGCGAACGGG